GACGAACGCUGGCGGCGUGCUUAACACAUGCAAGUCGAACGGAAAGGCCCUGCUUUUGUGGGGUGCUCGAGUGGCGAACGGGUGAGUAACACGUGUGUAACCUGCCCUUGACUUUGGGAUAACUUCAGGAAACUGGGGCUAAUACCGGAUAGGAUCUCCUGCUCCAUGUUGGGGGUUGGAACGUUUCGGCUGUUGGGGCUGGGCUAGCGGCUUAUCAGCUUGUUGGUGGGGUAGUGGCUUACCAAGGCUUUGACGGGUAGCCGGCCUGAGAGGGUGACCGGCCACAUUGGGACUGAGAUACGGCCCAGACUCCUACGGGAGGCAGCAGUGGGGAAUAUUGCACAAUGGGCGGAAGCCUGAUGCAGCAACGCCGCGUGCGGGAUGACGGCCUGCGGGUUGUAAACCGCUUUCGCCUGUGACGAAGCGUGAGUGACGGUAAUGGGUAAAGAAGCACCGGCUAACUACGUG
This 468-nucleotide ribosomal RNA is filed under the name uncultured bacterium. Its description in RNAcentral is "partial 16S ribosomal RNA". It matches the Rfam family "Bacterial small subunit ribosomal RNA", at positions 28 to 507 of the family's 1533-position model. The record is from RNAcentral.